AUUCCAGCUCCAAUAGCGUAUAUUUAAGUUGUUGCAGUUAAAAAGCUCGUAGUUGGAUUUUGGGUUAGGGUGUCCGGUCCGCCGUUUCGGUGUGCACUGGGCGCUCUUUCCUUUCUGCCGGGGACCGUUGGGUGUCUUAAUUGCCAUCCCUCGGGAGUCGGCGUUGUUACUUUGAAAAAAUUAGAGUGUUCAAAGCAAGCCAUCGCUCUGAAUACAUUAGCAUGGAAUAACAUGAUAGGACUCCGGUCUUAUUUUGUUGGUUUCCGAGACUGGAGUAAUGAUUAAGAGGGACAGUCGGGGGCAUCCGUAUUUCAUUGUCAGAGGUGAAAUUCUUGGAUUUAUGAAAGACGAACUUCUGCGAAAGCAUUUGCCAAGGAUGUUUUCAUUG
Molecule: ribosomal RNA, 388 nt
Filed under: Prasinoderma sp.
Lineage: Eukaryota; Viridiplantae; Prasinodermophyta; Prasinodermophyceae; Prasinodermales; Prasinodermaceae
Description: partial small subunit ribosomal RNA
Rfam family: Eukaryotic small subunit ribosomal RNA
Source: RNAcentral